ACAUUAGGUCACUGGGGGCAGUUCAGCCUUCCUGCAAUGCCUUAAAAAUGUUUCUUUAGCCUCUUUUCUCCCCAGCUUGAAGCUUCAAGAACAACGGUUCCCUCCUCCAUCAAUAUUCAGUGGACCAUUACUGUUGACAGGGAACGUGAAGAGACACAAGUGAAAGCACAGGUCCCCUGACCUCCCGCUGGUCAUGGAGCAGGAGGAACUAGGGGCCAGUGUAGAUGAUGACCAAUGACCUGCCCAGGCUCUUCAUCAGCCUCUGCCGAGCCACCCUUGGCUGGGGUUCCAAGGCUGAAGUCUCACUCUCUACAAGUGCCAAAGGGCACGCUGCCCCUCCGUCCACCUUCACACCUGCACCCCAGUUCAUCCUGCCUGAGCACUUAGAUGUUAUGGGCAUGUGAAACCUGGCUUGGGUUUCCUGCCGUCUGGGUUAUGGAGGAAGAAGGAGUAGGCGCAAAAGGCAGGGAAUUCACCCCGAUCAACGGUGGGCUAAGAACUGAAGAGAACUUCCUGGAUUUAGACAAGCUGCUCAUUCAUUCCUUCUCAGCCACGUCCAUGAAGCCCCAGCGAGCAUCCUCUUCCUCACUUUUCCUUGAUGGAGGUGUGUGUUGAACAAGCCAACAUCCGAUGACCUUAUGCUGGUAUCAUGUCUGGGGCUGUGAUCCUGACUGCACAGGACCUGUGAAGAACUGUAACUCACCUUAAUAGGAAUCUUCUGAAAACGUUGGAGGAAAGGAAUGUAAACUGGUCUUAUUGCCCUUGGUAACCAUAAUAGAAGUAUUUGACCCCAACAGGUAUUUCCCCCCCAGGUGUGGAAGGCUUUUUGUUUUCUCAUUUCACAGGUAGGACCAAAUAUAGCUGCAGCAGGGAGAGUUCCAGAUGUGGUUGUCUGUAUGUGUGUGGAGAGAAGUUGCUGGUGUCACUCGGGGAAGUCAGAAAAGAUUGUUUUCCUUUCCACAGUCAAACUUUCUUCUUAAGAGGUACUCAAAGGCUUCUCAUUGCAAAAAAAAAAAAAAAAAAAAAAAACUUCUUUCUGAAGCAACAAGUUUGUGAGCUUACAUGCUUCUUAGCUCAUGACAAGGAUCAGUAACACUGUGGGAGAUUGUGCAGUCCAAUAUGGGAACCACCAGCCACAUGAGAGUAUGUGCAUUUAGAAUCAGGGACCACAUAAUGAUGUUUGGUUAGUUAUGAUGAACUGCAUAUUUGAUGGUGGUCCCGUGAGAUUUUAUCACCUACUGAUGUCAUAGCUGUCUCAGUUUGUGUAAAUACACCGUAUGAUUUCACACAAUGAUGAAAUUGCCUAACUACGCAUUUCUCAUAGCAUAUCUCCAUCAUGAAGCAAUGCGUUACUUAUAAUUAAAAUGAAAUCAAAUUAAA
This is a non-coding RNA of Ictidomys tridecemlineatus (thirteen-lined ground squirrel), 1380 nucleotides long. NCBI's taxonomy places the organism in Eukaryota, Metazoa, Chordata, Mammalia, Rodentia, Sciuridae. The record is from RefSeq and is a predicted model, not a curated record.